RNAcentral lists this ribosomal RNA (429 nucleotides) under bacterium. RNAcentral's name for it is "partial 16S ribosomal RNA". It matches the Rfam family "Bacterial small subunit ribosomal RNA", at positions 355 to 776 of the family's 1533-position model. The record is from RNAcentral.
UGGGGAAUUUUGGACAAUGGGCGAAAGCCUGAUCCAGCAAUGCCGCGUGUGUGAAGAAGGCCUUCGGGUUGUAAAGCACUUUUGUCCGGAAAGAAAUGGCUCUGGUUAAUACCUGGGGUCGAUGACGGUACCGGAAGAAUAUGGACCGGCUAACUACGUGCCAGCAGCCGCGGUAAUACGUAGGGUCCAAGCGUUAAUCGGAAUUACUGGGCGUAAAGCGUGCGCAGGCGGUUGUGCAAGACCGAUGUGAAAUCCCCGAGCUUAACUUGGGAAUUGCAUUGGUGACUGCACGGCUAGAGUGUGUCAGAGGGGGGUAGAAUUCCACGUGUAGCAGUGAAAUGCGUAGAGAUGUGGAGGAAUACCGAUGGCGAAGGCAGCCCCCUGGGAUAACACUGACGCUCAUGCACGAAAGCGUGGGGAGCAAACAGG